AUGGUAGCCUCCCAUCUGGCAAGUAGAGAGGAGUUCCCUUACGUUGUUACUGGAACAACCUGGGUCAGUGAAAUAUUGGAUUUGAUCUAUAAUAAUGGGGAUGUGGAGAAAUGUAAGCAGGAUGCAAUAUACAAACAAGUGCCGUUCAUGGAAAUGAUUGUUCCUGGACUCCAGAAUGGUGUGGAGGAGUUGAAAAAAAUGCAGCCUCCUUGAUUAGUGAAAACACACCUACCUGUUCAACGUCUCCCUUCUUCAUUUUGGGAAAAUACCUGCAAGAUGGUCUAUGUGGCAUGAAAUGCUAAGGAUGUGGCUGUGUUUUACUAUUAUUUCUACCAGAUGGCAAAAUUAUACCCAGAGCCUGGCACCUGGGAGGAGUUCCUAGAUAAAUUCAUGACUGGGAAGGUGGCUUAUGGUUCUUGGUAUGACCAUGUGAAGGGCUGGUGGGAGAAGACGAAUGAUUAUCAUAUCCUUUACCUAUUCUAUGAAGACAUGAAAGAGGAUCCAAAGCAUGAAAUUCAGAAGUUGUUAAAGUUUCUAGACAAAGAUCUGUCAGAAGAAACUAUGGAUAAAAUCCUCUGUCAUAGCUCUUUCAAUGUGAUGAAGCAGAAUCCAAGUACAAAUUAUAUCACUGUAGCAGAUUUUGAUAUGGAUCAUUCUGUAUCUCCCAUCAUGAGAAAGGGUAUUUCAGGAGAUUGGAAAAACCAGUUCACUGUAGCCGAGUAUGAAAGAUUUGAAAAAGAUUAUUAAAAGAAAAUGAAAGGGUCGGGGGACAGAGCAAGAUGGCGGAGGGCUCUGCAUAGGUAUAAUCUCCACGGCAAGGGCUUGGCAACCGCUGCGUACGGUGAUCUGUACCCGUCUUGUUAA
Molecule: RNA transcript, 864 nt
Organism: Odobenus rosmarus divergens (Pacific walrus)
Lineage: Eukaryota; Metazoa; Chordata; Mammalia; Carnivora; Odobenidae
Gene name: sulfotransferase 1 family member D1-like
Exons: 8
Source: RefSeq, a predicted model, not a curated record